CUCAGGAUGAACGCUAGCGGCAGGCUUAACACAUGCAAGUCGAGGGGUAUAGUUCUUCGGAACUAGAGACCGGCGCACGGGUGCGUAACGCGUAUGCAAUCUACCUUUUACAGAGGGAUAGCCCAGAGAAAUUUGGAUUAAUACCUCAUAGCAUAGCAGCUUCGCAUGAAGCCACUAUUAAAGUCACAACGGUAAAAGAUGAGCAUGCGUCCCAUUAGCUAGUUGGUAAGGUAACGGCUUACCAAGGCUACGAUGGGUAGGGGUCCUGAGAGGGAGAUCCCCCACACUGGUACUGAGACACGGACCAGACUCCUACGGGAGGCAGCAGUGAGGAAUAUUGGACAAUGGGCGCAAGCCUGAUCCAGCCAUGCCGCGUGCAGGAUGACGGUCCUAUGGAUUGUAAACUGCUUUUAUACGAGAAGAAACACUACUUCGUGAAGUAGCUUGACGGUAUCGUAAGAAUAAGGAUC
This 470-nucleotide ribosomal RNA is filed under the name Flavobacteriaceae bacterium JJ-247. Its description in RNAcentral is "bacterial SSU rRNA". It matches the Rfam family "Bacterial small subunit ribosomal RNA", at positions 23 to 494 of the family's 1533-position model. The record is from RNAcentral. RNAcentral also lists the same sequence under 1 other name. Lineage: Bacteria; Pseudomonadati; Bacteroidota; Flavobacteriia; Flavobacteriales; Flavobacteriaceae.